CUGAUAUUUGGACCAUAUAUAAGAUAUCUAUCAUCGCAUUUGCAUUGUUUUGUGGUGUUUCCGGUUCUGGAGUGCUGGUUUGUUCAGGAGAAACCGGGUCAUGGAGGGGGUUUCUCAGUACCCAUGAGUCAAGAGAAAUCUCUAAUGUUCAUCAGAACUGAAGCCUUCAGUGAAGAGAGCAUUUAUGAACUUCAUCCUCCUGCAGACAUCAGUCCAUCCAGGAUUUACUAUGUGACCGAUCCAGCUGGCUCGUUCUGCAGUGCAGCUCUGAAUCCACCCAAAGGCUGUGAACAAACCCAAG
Long non-coding RNA from Sinocyclocheilus rhinocerous, 301 nucleotides. RefSeq lists it as uncharacterized. The record is from RefSeq and is a predicted model, not a curated record. Lineage: Eukaryota; Metazoa; Chordata; Actinopteri; Cypriniformes; Cyprinidae. The transcript has 3 exons.